GGGGCUGUUGCUCAGUGCCAGAGUGCUUGCCUAGCAUGCAUGAGGCACUGGGUUUGAUCCUCAGCACCACA
Molecule: transfer RNA, 71 nt
Filed under: Marmota monax (woodchuck)
Lineage: Eukaryota; Metazoa; Chordata; Mammalia; Rodentia; Sciuridae
Description: tRNA.Ala
Source: RNAcentral